CCACAGAGCUGACCAGGAAGGAUGGCCAGGAUGCCAUGCUGUGUCCAAUGUCUACACUGCAGUCAAUUUCUCCCUCCAUCUGAUAGAAGCCAGGUGGCAGCCAUGGUGGGGGCACCAUGGGGUGAAGGAGGAGCUCCUUCCCUCCUGCAGCCUUGGGCCAGGCGGGCAGAUGAGACCUCACACAAGCAUGGCAGCUCCCGUGGACCCUGUCCCCAUCCCCGCCGGCCCGAUGCCCAGCAGCACCGUCCAUUCCAUGGCCUCCAGGUCUCGCGGACCUCAGCUCUGCCCGGCGGGACCACCAUGGUGCUAGGUUCCGUCCCCCGGAGGGACGCGGUGGCCUCCCCCUCCCCCCCCCCCGCCCCAUGCAGACCUGAGGAGGGCUUGGCUGACCGCCAAUCAUUGGCGGAGUCCACAGCUCAUCACGCACUGAGUUGGCGGAGCCGCCGCUUCCCCUGGACACAGACUUCCCCUUCUUGUCCCCUCAGAUGGAGAUGAUGCCUAAAGGACGAAUGGAAGCUCAGGGAAUAGUAGUUCAGGGAUAGCUCAGUGGUUAAGAGCGCCGACCACUCUACCUCGUUCAAUUCCAGUAGCGGCAUUAUGGCUCAAAGCCAUCUGUAAUGAUUUUUGGUGCCCUCUUCUGUUGUGUGUCUGAAGAUGGCUACUGUGCACUCACAAAAGUAAAAUAAGCAAAUCUUUAAAAAAAAAAAAGAAAGAAAAAACUCAGACACCAUUAAAGAAUUAUUCCUUUCGCUCCUAUCUGAUGAUGAUGUGUGUGUGUAUAUAUAUGUAUAUAUAUAUGUGUGUAUGUGUAUAUAUACAUAUAUACAUAUAUACAUAUAUACAUAUA
RNAcentral lists this long non-coding RNA (847 nucleotides) under Mus musculus (house mouse). RNAcentral describes it as "long non-coding RNA chr13:65257136-65257983". The record is from RNAcentral. Lineage: Eukaryota; Metazoa; Chordata; Mammalia; Rodentia; Muridae.